This is a long non-coding RNA of Ictalurus punctatus (channel catfish), 383 nucleotides long. The record is from Ensembl. NCBI's taxonomy places the organism in Eukaryota, Metazoa, Chordata, Actinopteri, Siluriformes, Ictaluridae.
GAGACGGUACACACACCAGCUCAGUUCUAACAUCAGCCUCCCACCAGAUGGCCAGGAUGUUCUGAGAAACGUGUCUCAAUCUUCUCCACCAGGGUAUAGAGUGGAGAAGAGGACAGAGGGGUUGUUCUGAGAUGCGGACCAGAAGGUCGUGAGUUCAAAUCCCAGCACUGCAUACAGCUGCCACUGCUGGACUCUUGAGCAAGACCCUGAACCCUGAACUGCUCAGCUGUAUCAAUGAAAUAAAUGUAUAAGGGUAUCUGCCAAAUGGCGUAAAUGUACACUCGUCGUCCACUUUAUUAGGAACACCUGCACAUUCAUGCUGUUAUCCAGUCAGCCAAUCGUGUGGCAGCAGCACAAAGCAAAAAUGCUUGCAGAUACAGGGC